ACUCCUACGGGAGGCAGCAGUGGGGAAUAUUGCACAAUGGGCGCAAGCCUGAUGCAGCAACGCCGCGUGAGUGAUGAAGGCCUCGGUCGUAAAGCUCUGUCCUCAAGGAAGAAUAAAUGACGGUACUUGAGGAGGAAGCCCGGCUAACUACGUGCCAGCAGCCGCGGUAAUACGUAGGGGGCAAGCGUUAUCCGGAAUCACUGGGCGUAAAGGGUGCGUAGGCGGUUUUCAAGUCAGAAGUGAAAGGCUAUGGCUCAACCAUAGUAAGCUUUUGAAACUGUUAAACUUGAGUGCAGGAGAGGAAAGUGGAAUUCCUAGUGUAGAGGUGAAAUUCGUAGAUAUUAGGAGGAACACCAGUGGCGAAGGCGACUUUCUGGACUGUAACUGACGCUGAGGCACGAAAGCGUGGGGAGCGAACAGGAUUAGAUACCCUGGUAGCACAGAG
This 445-nucleotide ribosomal RNA is filed under the name uncultured bacterium. Its description in RNAcentral is "bacterial SSU rRNA". It matches the Rfam family "Bacterial small subunit ribosomal RNA", at positions 335 to 799 of the family's 1533-position model. The record is from RNAcentral.